GGUUCUCAAACCCAUUAUCAGGUUAUUACUAAUUAUAUUGUUAAGAUGUAUUAAUACCUUAAAUCUUGCAGUGUUUCCUUAAGUUCUAUAUUUGUUGACCUUUUAUUGUUUGUAGGUUUCACUUAUCUUCUUGUUGUUUUUCUUGAUUCUGUAGGUUAUUAAACUUGAAUGCUUUCCAAACUUACAAAUUUAGGAAUUCAAUGAAAGAGCUUUUGGCAGCUUAUGUGUACUUGGGCUAUUAUUCUAUCAAUGUUUUUUGAGAGUUAAAUCUAUCAAAAACUUUGAAAGUAUAUAGUUUGUUGAAACUUUUAGCAACAUUCUGAAGAUUUCUGGUAUUUUAUGAAUCCUUUACCCAAUAAAUUUCUAUGAUAUUGAUAUGUAUAUGCUAUUUUACAAUUAUAGCCCAAUGUUUUAAUUAUGGACCAUAAAUCACAAUAUUUGAGAUUAGCUGCAAUUAUAGUUAAAACCCAAAAUUGCUUUAGAGUUGUCUACUAAGCUUACAAUUAUGAUAAACUUACAAAAAUGGUAAGCCAUAAACUUACAAUUAUAGCAAAUGCCUCAAAAUUACAAUUGUGGUAACCAAACACCCUAAAGAGAUUUGUACUUUUGUUAAUUAACCUAAUUGAUUGUUUUAAAAAUUAUAGUUAUAAUUAUAAGUUUAGUAGACAACUCUAAAUCAAUUUUGGUUGGAAUUUUUUUAUUCAAAAUAAGAAUGUUUGGCUAUAAUUGCAAAUUACUACAAACUUUUGGCCUUUUAUAUCCAAUUGUCCUAUUGAUUUUGGUUUAGGGAAGUAGGACUAAUGAUGGUGACUUUUUAUUUUUUGAAAUUGUGCCAUAAACUAUUGCUAAUUUAAAAGCCAACUUACCAUCCACAUGUUCACAACCUUCAUUUGCAUAAGUUGUUGGCCUAAUGCCAAUUUUUUUGCAGCUCAAUUGUGAAUAAUCAGAUGGCAGCCCCUGAGACAGCAGGGGCAAUUCCUUUUGAUUUGUAGAAAAUAACUUAUAGGAGCUGAGGUCGUUUCCAGUUCAUGAUUAAUAAUCCACGUUAGUAGUCACUACACUUUUGAACAUUGGAUGUAGUCCGCAUGCAUUAUAAUUUAUAUGGAAACGGAAUGCAGUCAUUCUUAAUAUUGAGACAAGAAAGAGAGUGUACAAUCAAUAUCUUGAUUGCUUUUCAUUUAUCUAUAGUAGAAUUUGCAUUUUUGAAACCUUGAGUAACACUUUCGUUUUCUCUUGAAUCAGGUUGCUGC
Molecule: unclassified non-coding RNA, 1250 nt
Filed under: Hevea brasiliensis (rubber tree)
Lineage: Eukaryota; Viridiplantae; Streptophyta; Magnoliopsida; Malpighiales; Euphorbiaceae
Source: RNAcentral